AUUGAGCGCUGGCGGCAGGCCUAACACAUGCAAGUCGAGCGGAUGAAGGGAGCUUGCUCCUGGAUUCAGCGGCGGACGGGUGAGUAAUGCCUAGGAAUCUGCCUGGUAGUGGGGGAUAACGUCCGGAAACGGGCGCUAAUACCGCAUACGUCCUGAGGGAGAAAGUGGGGGAUCUUCGGGCCUCACGCUAUCAGAUGAGCCUAGGUCGGAUUAGCUAGUUGGUGGGGUAAAGGCCUACCAAGGCGACGAUCCGUAACUGGUCUGAGAGGAUGAUCAGUCACACUGGAACUGAGACACGGUCCAGACUCCUACGGGAGGCAGCAGUGGGGAAUAUUGGACAAUGGGCGAAAGCCUGAUCCAGCCAUGCCGCGUGUGUGAAGAAGGUCUUCGGAUUGUAAAGCACCUUAAGUUGGGAGGAAGGGCAGUAAGUUAAUACCUUGCUGUUUUGACGUUACCAACAGAAUAAGCACCGGCUAACUUCGUG
RNAcentral lists this ribosomal RNA (484 nucleotides) under uncultured bacterium. RNAcentral's name for it is "partial 16S ribosomal RNA". It matches the Rfam family "Bacterial small subunit ribosomal RNA", at positions 30 to 507 of the family's 1533-position model. The record is from RNAcentral.